ACGGGGGGAGCAAGCGUUGUUCGGAAUCACUGGGCGUAAAGGGCGUGUAGGCGGUUAGGUAAGUGGGAUGUGAAAUGCCUCGGCUCACCCGAGGACCGGCAUCCCAAACUGCCCGACUUGAGUAUGGGAGAGGAUGAGGGAAUUCCUGGUGUAGCGGUGAAAUGCGUAGAUAUCAGGAGGAACACCGGUGGCGAAGGCGCUCAUCUGGCCCAAUACUGACGCUGAGGCGCGAAAGCUAGGGGAGCAAACGGGAUUAGAUACCCCGGUAGUCCUAGCCGUAAACGGUGAUCACUAGGUGUUGGAGGCAUCGACCCCUCCAGUGCCGCAGCUAACGCAUUAAGUGAUCCGCCUGGGGAGUACGGCCGCAAGGUUG
RNAcentral lists this ribosomal RNA (373 nucleotides) under uncultured bacterium. RNAcentral's name for it is "bacterial SSU rRNA". It matches the Rfam family "Bacterial small subunit ribosomal RNA", at positions 525 to 896 of the family's 1533-position model. The record is from RNAcentral.